UACGGGGGGGGCAAGCGUUGUUCGGAAUUACUGGGCGUAAAGGGCUCGUAGGCGGCCAACUAAGUCAGACGUGAAAUCCCCAGGCUUAACCUGGGAACUGCGUCUGAUACUGGAUGGCUUGAGAUUGGGAGAGGGAUGCGGAAUUCCAGGUGUAGCGGUGAAAUGCGUAGAUAUCUGGAGGAACACCGGUGGCGAAGGCGGCAUCCUGGACCGACACUGACGCUGAGGAGCGAAAGCCAGGGGAGCAAACGGG
This 253-nucleotide ribosomal RNA is filed under the name uncultured bacterium. RNAcentral describes it as "partial 16S ribosomal RNA". It matches the Rfam family "Bacterial small subunit ribosomal RNA", at positions 524 to 776 of the family's 1533-position model. The record is from RNAcentral.